RNAcentral lists this transfer RNA (74 nucleotides) under Teratoscincus przewalskii (Przewalski's wonder gecko). RNAcentral describes it as "tRNA-Phe". Lineage: Eukaryota; Metazoa; Chordata; Lepidosauria; Squamata; Sphaerodactylidae. The record is from RNAcentral.
GUUACUGUAGCUUAAUAAAUUUAAAGCGCGGCCCUGAAGUUGCCGCGAUGGAUACCCCCAUUUUCCCGGAAACA